AAAUGACAAAUGCAACUAUAAACCUUGAUGUAUUUUUGGGCGCAUCAUUUUUUAUAUUUUUUUUCUCCUUCGGUUUCUUCUUUCUCCUCUUGUGUUUCUUUAAAAGCCGUCGCUUGAAAGUUAGAAACCCCCAGAGACGGAGAAACGGGGAAGCUGGCGUGGCCGACCUCCAGCAGUUUGAGAUUGUCCAGGUCCAGGGAGCUCUCGGAGGCAGCAGCUUCCAUCAUGUUCAGGUUGUGCAGGCCCUGUUUCCCGUCUCCUGACGACAACAACAACAGAAAAACACAACAACUCAGGUUCUUGCAGCACAUUCUAGCGACCUUCGAAGAUGACGAUUCCUGCUCUCUUCCUCGCAAGCUCAGCGCCAUGAACCAUCAAAGACGUUCCGGGAAAAAGCGAAAAACCCUUUGAAUACCAAGUAAACCGCACAAACCAGUUUGGUUUUUGUGUUGUGUCUGUUGCCAUAUUUUUACUAGAUGGUCCCAUCUGAUUAUGUUCAAAGUCAGAUAAAGCCUGUUUUGCGUUCAGCUAGCCAAGAGUUGAAGCGAGUUCAAAGACUUGCAUCGUACCAUUUUAUGGAAAACAGAAUUCCUAAAAUAACAAAAUAAAUAAAGAAUCAAAUGCUUGAUACUUGAA
Non-coding RNA from Oryzias latipes (Japanese medaka), 636 nucleotides. The record is from RefSeq and is a predicted model, not a curated record. Lineage: Eukaryota; Metazoa; Chordata; Actinopteri; Beloniformes; Adrianichthyidae.